GAAAUGCGAUACGUAAUGUGAAUUGCAGAUUUCAGUGAAUCAUCGAAUCUUUGAACGCACAUUGCGCCCGCUAGUAUUCUGGCGGGCAUGCCUGUUCGAGCGUCAUUUCAACCAUCAAGCGCCCGCGCUUGUGUUGGAGCCCUGCGGCUGCCGCAGGCUCCCAAACCCAGUGGCGGGCUCGUCGUCGUACCGAGUGCAGUAAACAUCCUCGCUCAGGGAACGCGUCGGGUACCGGCCGUAAAACACCCAACUUUAGAGAGUUCUAAAGCCUGGCUUUAGAACUCUCUAAAGUUUGACCUCGGAUCAGGUAGGAUUACCCGCUGAACUUAA
RNAcentral lists this unclassified non-coding RNA (330 nucleotides) under uncultured fungus. RNAcentral describes it as "sequence contains ITS1". The stretch from base 1 to 105 matches the Rfam family "5.8S ribosomal RNA", at positions 50 to 154 of the family's 154-position model. Lineage: Eukaryota; Fungi. The record is from RNAcentral.